GAUGAACGCUGGCGGCGUGCCUAAUACAUGCAAGUCGAGCGAACGGACGAGAAGCUUGCUUCUCUGAUGUUAGCGGCGGACGGGUGAGUAACACGUGGAUAACCUACCUAUAAGACUGGGAUAACUUCGGGAAACCGUAGCUAAUACCGGAUAAUAUUUUGAACCGCAUGGUUCAAAAGUUAAAGACGGUCUUGCUGUCACUUAUAGAUGGAUCCGCGCUGCAUUAGCUAGUUGGUAAGGUAACGGCUUACCAAGGCAACGAUGCAUAGCCGACCUGAGAGGGUGAUCGGCCACACUGGAACUGAGACACGGUCCAGACUCCUACGGGAGGCAGCAGUAGGGAAUCUUCCGCAAUGGGCGAAGGCCUGACGGAGCAACGCCGCGUGAGUGAUGAAGGUCUUCGGAUCGUAAAACUCUGUUAUUAGGGAAGAACAUAUGUGUAAGUAACUGUGCACAUCUUGACGGUACCUAAUCAGAAAGCCACGGCUAACUACGUG
This 497-nucleotide ribosomal RNA is filed under the name uncultured bacterium. RNAcentral's name for it is "partial 16S ribosomal RNA". It matches the Rfam family "Bacterial small subunit ribosomal RNA", at positions 28 to 507 of the family's 1533-position model. The record is from RNAcentral.